This is a long non-coding RNA of Oncorhynchus tshawytscha (Chinook salmon), 3565 nucleotides long. RefSeq lists it as uncharacterized. The transcript has 4 exons. NCBI's taxonomy places the organism in Eukaryota, Metazoa, Chordata, Actinopteri, Salmoniformes, Salmonidae. The record is from RefSeq and is a predicted model, not a curated record.
UUUAGUAUUUUUGAAUUUCGCGCCCUGCAUUUUACCGGAUGUUGUCAAAUCGAUCCCGGUAACGGGAUUCUAGCCGUAAGGGAUCCUAUUAACAAGAUGUGCCACCUGAUUUCACCUCUCGCUCUAUCGAUUUCAACAUGAUAUCGAUACGAGUAAUUCACCAAACAGUGUUGCGUUUCCCUUUCUGUUUUGGCAACCCCGUAUCAAAAUCCAACACUCUGAAAUGUAGCUGAUGGUCUUCUGCAAGUCGUCCUCUAACCAGUGAAGUAAAAAAGAUCUCCAGUUUCCAUGUGUUUUUUGUCGUUGUGUUAGUUUCAACAGCGCCUAAAACCAGAUUUCCCCCCCAAUCAAUAUGAUUAAUUGCCACUUGUCAAAACAGGGUUUUUGGUGCUGAAAACUAGCUGUUAUUGGCAGAUAGGUUUGAAACUCUAUUUCAUAUAGGUCUAUUAAUAGGUCUAUUGGCCUGCUUGAUGUCACCGAUCAGCUCUUACCCUAAAAGGGUAUUAUCAUAAUUUUCAAGGUAUUAUUCUAACCUCAUAGUUUGGAAAUGUAUGUAAAACACUGGAAAAUCACGUUGGACUGCACAGGGCCAUUACGUUUUAGGAAUAUAAAUUGAACUUUCGACAUUAAUUUCUAAUGGCAUCAUUCUUAAUCAGGUUAAAACUGCUGAAAGAGUCUAAAAAUGUGCUGCUGAUGAUAUACUAGAUAUCACCGAACCGGGUUUUCUCUGCCUAAUGCUAACAAGAAAGACGGCAGUAUAUUUUGCUUUAUUAAAGAUUCUGACUUUACAUUACCUCUUCAACAUAAUGUUUCAGGAUGAUAUAAAAAGAUAGAGUAGCAGGGUGUAUUCAUUAGUGGUAUUCCUUUACAAAACAUUUUGUCUGUUGCAAAAAGGAAACCGUUCACUGUUUAUUCUAGGAACCAAACGGAAGAAACAAAAUAGGGAGGACCUACCGGAAUUUGUCCAAUAGAAACUCUUGUUUUCGUUGCAAAACGUUUUCCGUUUGGAGUAAACGUUUUCUGUUGCAAAACAUAUUGCAACAGACUUAGAUUUGAUGUAUUUUACCAUGUGCAACAGAUAAAAUAUUUUGCAACAGAAUCUGACACCUCCCAAGUUGCACCACUUGUUUUUGUUGUUCUGUUUUCAAAAGGGACUUUACAUUGAUUGUCUGUGUAUUCGCAGAAACGAGGACUGUCUUAAAAGUGCGAGUAAAAUGUGGUGUUAGCUCAACAACCUCAAUGGCUUUGCAACCACAUGAAAUCUCAAACUGACUGUAAUACGUUCAGGGACCUCUCCAAUCCAAAGCAAUCAUUUUGGUUAUUUUUUACUUUAAAUAAAAUACUUCCUUAACUUAAAACCACCCCAUAUCACAUGUAUGAACACAACCAACUGUUAUUGAUUCAGGGAUCUCUUCUCUCCAAUCCACGGCAAUUACUGUAGAACUUUUUGACUCUAUUUCCUAUGAAUUUUUAUUCCAUUUUCAUUGCAAAUACUUCCUUAAAAACCUCAGUAGCUUCCACCCCACAUGACUUUAAUGAAUACAACCAACUGUUAUUGAUUCAGGGAUCUCUUCCCCUCCAAACUACACCAAUUACUUUUGCACGUUGUCUAUUUUUGCUGAAGACAAAUUCCUAAAAGUCAAAGAUAAAAGCAAGGGGUGUAACUUGUUUGAUACCGUCAGCUGAUUUAGAAUACAGAGCGGCUGCAGGUACCAAUUCUUCGGAACCCUUAUCGCGAUAGCUAAAGAUCCAAAGCUUCUGCGCACGUGUCAUUUCUAUCAUCCUGGUACGUUCCAUUGAAAAGGUAUUGACGAGCAUCUAUAAUAUCAAGUUGAAUGAAAGCUAUAGCUAGCUAGCAUAACUGGCUACAUUUCAAGUUGAAUUUCAAAUAAUGAGUAGAAUGCAUACAUUUUGAUCAACCGCUUAGCUCUGAUUUAUUCCAAUAAGCUGUCUAUUACCCAAAGGAUGUGGACUUGCUGAUUUCUUUUUUCCUGUCGCGGCUUCAGAUCGUCUGUUGUUCUUUGCUAUCAUUGCUAUUGGGGGGCUCCCGAGUGGCGCAGUGGUCUAAGGCACCGCGUCUCAGUGCCAACGUUAUAUUGCAGUGAAACCUUAGCGGCCUCCAAUAACUUUACCCUGUUGUCUUUUCAGCCUUAAAACUGGUGCCAGAACUGCGACAUCUGAUGUUGCAAUAUGCCUCAUCAACUCCUCAAGUUUACAUAAGAGUGCCCACUACAAUGAACUGGGAAUUUACCAGUAUCGUUUUAAUAAUAUUUACCUAGUUGUUGUUGUGUAGCCUGGCCCCAGGUCUGUACUGUCUUGCCAACUCCCACCGGUUAUUGUCACGUCAAACAAUGAUCAUAGCAGUUGGCAAGACGGCACAAACAGAUAUGGAACCAGGCUAGUUGUUGAGAGUGUGUUGUGUUGGAUUGUUUUCCACCCUUUAGUAUUUUCAUCCUGUCAAGUGAGACAGUCAACAUAUGGAGUCAUCUCCUGGGGCUCCUGCUCUUCUUCCUACUGGGGGUUAAGGACAUGUCACGGUACUGCCAGCUUCAGGAGCCAACACAGAAGACUACGUCAUCUCCUGCAUAGGACGGUUCUGCUUUCAGGUGUGUAUGCUGUGUUCUGCGGGGUAUCACCUGUUCUCCUGCCCCCUCUCAGAGAAGAAGUGCUGCCACGGGACUACGUUGGAACCUUGGCUGUUACGUUCCAGGGGUCUUGUAUGCCUCCCACUGCGUCGCUGUGUCUUAGACAAUACAUUCCAUCAUUUGUUGUACUUUUCACUCAUACCGUUUGUUUCAGUAAAGAUAACAUUUUAUAACACAUGCACUCUGACACUGUAAACAUGUAACUACACAAACGGGCUUUGAAAUUACAUCUCUUCUCCUCCUGACAUAUCUUUUCCCAUAGCCUAUCUUCUACCCUCCCUCUGCUCUAAAGUUCUGGAGACAGGUGUACCUGAUGAUUGUUAUAGCAUUGAUAUUGGCUGUGUUCUUGGCUCAGAUCCACUCUCACUACCCUAAGGAGUGGCGACACCAGCGUACUGCCAUCCUCGGCUCAGUGGCUGGCUACGGGGUCAUCCAAGCCGCCCACUGGGUCUGGCUCAAUGGAAGCUUCAGCUCUGCUGUCGUCCAGAUGAGUCAUCAGAUACCUGAAUUACAAUAUUAGUUGUUCCUGCCUCUUGAUGGUGAUGUAUUAGAUAGCUGGAGCUGAGUUCCUCUUUUACAUCGGUCAGCUGAACUACCUGGUUGCCAGCCAGCAGGUGUGACAUGUCUUGGUGGUGUUUAUGCUCUGCUUGUGGCACCAGACUUCUGUGUAUUUAAUGAACUUCAGGCACAACCAGCCCUGCCUCAUAGACUGGCCCAGCCAACAACCGAGCUGCCACAGACUCUACUGUAGCCACUCAAUGCAAACCAGACUACAACUGAACCUUUAACGUAACGUAACAAAAUGUGGGAAAAGUCAACGGGUCUGAAAACUUUCCGAAUGCUCUGUAUGUACUAAAAGGGACAUCAUUUCAAUGUAUCUGUACUAAGGCAUGUCUCUCUUUUGAUUAUUUUAAAUAAAU